GACGAACGCUGGCGGCGUGCUUAACACAUGCAAGUCGAACGGAAAGGCCCUGCUUGCCGGGUACUCGAGUGGCGAACGGGUGAGUAACACGUGGGUGAUCUGCCCUGCACUUCGGGAUAAGCCUGGGAAACUGGGUCUAAUACCGGAUAGGAGCCAUUUUUAGUGUGAUGGUUGGAAAGUUUUUUCGGUGUAGGAUGAGCUCGCGGCCUAUCAGCUUGUUGGUGGGGUAAUGGCCUACCAAGGCGGCGACGGGUAGCCGGACUGAGAGGGUGGACGGCCACAUUGGGACUGAGAUACGGCACAGACUCCUACGGGAGGCAGAAGUGGGGAAUAUUGCACAAUGGGCGCAAGCCUGAUGCAGCGACGCCGCGUGGGGGAUGACGGCCUUCGGGUUGUAAACUCCUUUCGCUAGGGACGAAGCUUUUUGUGACGGUACCUAGAUAAGAAGCACCGGCUAACUACGUG
This 465-nucleotide ribosomal RNA is filed under the name uncultured bacterium. Its description in RNAcentral is "partial 16S ribosomal RNA". It matches the Rfam family "Bacterial small subunit ribosomal RNA", at positions 28 to 507 of the family's 1533-position model. The record is from RNAcentral.